GUUUCAGUAGCUCAGCAGGUAGAGCACCUCCCUUUUAAGGAGGGGGUCCUGGGUUCGAGUCCCAGCUGGAACA
This 73-nucleotide transfer RNA is filed under the name Bacteroidales bacterium. Its description in RNAcentral is "tRNA-Lys". It matches the Rfam family "tRNA". Rfam says of the family: Transfer RNA (tRNA) molecules are approximately 80 nucleotides in length. Their secondary structure includes four short double-helical elements and three loops (D, anti-codon, and T loops). The record is from RNAcentral. Lineage: Bacteria; Pseudomonadati; Bacteroidota; Bacteroidia; Bacteroidales.